This 17-nucleotide transfer RNA is filed under the name Syntrichia lithophila. Its description in RNAcentral is "partial tRNA-Ser". Lineage: Eukaryota; Viridiplantae; Streptophyta; Bryopsida; Pottiales; Pottiaceae. The record is from RNAcentral.
UCGAAUCCCUCUCUUUC